UGAUCAGGUUGAUAGGUCAGAGGUGGAAGCGUGGCGACAUGUGUAGCUGACUGAUACUAAUCGAUCGAGGACUUAACCAAA
RNAcentral lists this ribosomal RNA (81 nucleotides) under Priestia megaterium. RNAcentral describes it as "partial 23S ribosomal RNA". RNAcentral also lists the same sequence under 1 other name. Lineage: Bacteria; Bacillati; Bacillota; Bacilli; Caryophanales; Bacillaceae. The record is from RNAcentral.